Molecule: non-coding RNA, 2586 nt
Organism: Anas platyrhynchos (mallard)
Lineage: Eukaryota; Metazoa; Chordata; Aves; Anseriformes; Anatidae
Source: RefSeq, a predicted model, not a curated record
CACACUCUGUUUAAGUAUUUAUACUGCCUUUGGCUUGCUGUAUUAUUGUGCGUUUAUUAAUAAGCCCGUGUGCUUACAUUUUGACUUGAGAAAACUCUGUGCACUUUGGAAGAAAUCCUAUCCGCAUUGAAGUCAAUGGGAGAAUUGCCAUCGACUACAAGAGCGUUAGGAUUUCACCCUUUUGAGUUUUUGUUCACAAAGAGAAGCUCUUCAAAAAUCUUUCAGUCCUGUAAGCCUUCAUUACUCAUCCAUUAAAAAAAUAAAUAAAAUAAAAUCUAGGGGAAGAGGUUAAGGUAAUAAUAAUAAUAAUAAUAAUAAUAAUAAAGGUGGGUCUGGCUUUAUAUUGUCAACAAUCUCAUAGAUCUCCAAGUUGGACUGGCUCUAGCACAGAACAUGCUAGGACUAAGACUCUCAAAUUACUCACAGAACACAUGACAGCAUGUAAAGGCUACUGAAAUAUAAAGAUUUUGGCCCAAAGUUACAUUCAGGGUCUAUUGGGUUCACAGAUCUGCCAGAUCUCUUUUGCUAAAAGCAGUCAUGUACCAUGUUGCCAUGAACCCUUCCAGUGGUGUGUUUGCAUUUCUGCUCCCUCCAGCAGUAUGUUGAAGCCACUAAGAUUUAUAGAUAAGAUGCAGCAUAAAACAAACAAACAAACAAAAAUCCACUCCAAAGCUGGAUCUUUCAGACUGAGAUUCAUCACAUAUUUUGUAAGUUUCUAAAAGUCUUUCACAAAAGCAGAAAAAAUUUUACUAGAAAACCCUCCACAGAUCUAAGAAGAAUUUCUCAUGAACAAGUUCUAAAAAAAAAAGUGAAAAUAUUUAGAAAAUUGAGCUCUUUAAACCUCCAAUUUCUAAAAAAAAGGGGGACUAAAAAGUGCUGGGAAGACCACUGUGUACUUUUCAGUGUCCUGGUUAUUCUGCCAAAGAAAUCUAGGGCAAAUUUAUUUUAGUUAAACAUUUAUUUGGUGACCACUGUUUCUACAAUGAUUAUUUUGCUAUCCUCACCAGUAACCCUUUGUUUCUCUGAAUGCAAGCACGAGUCACAAUAUUCAUUUACAAAGAGGUGUAUGGUAGUCUUGUUUCUUAAAGAUAAAUUGCAGAACUAUUUUUGAUGGUUCAAAAUCUUGGGUUUUGCAGCUCAGUAUAAUUUAAGCCAUGAACCAUUCUUCCUGCUACUCUAUAGUGAAUUAUAAAACAUAUCAAUCCCCGUUACCCUAAAGAAAAGAAGUAAUAACAUGUAAGAUGAAAAACAGUGAAAAUCAUGCCUGACCAAUCUGGUGGCAUUCUGUGAUGGAGUGACUCCAUCAGCUGACAAUGGAUGAGCAACCAAUGUCAUCUACCUGGACUUCUGUAAGGCCCACAUAACAUCCAGAUCUCCAUAUUAGAGAGUUUUCAGAACUGUCACUGUGAUGCUAGCUAAUUGAUCCUAGAACCGCUAUACUCUAUAGGUAAGUGGUAACGAAGUCCUCCUUCUUCCAAAUAAUAGUAAAAUCAGUUAUUUACCAUUUAUACCAAUAGUUAACAAAAAAUGACGUAUGAAUCAUUUAGGAUUUUAGUGAAGACACUCUUUGAAUGUUACAUUGAAUAUUUUAAUUAAAAAUAAACAUGAAUGACAAUGUUCUUAGUAACACGAUAGUAACUAAAACUUAAGGUGAGAAGGUAUUUUCAAGACUAUAUUAGUUCUUUUGUUCUGAAAAUGAAACAUUUUGAAGAUGAGUUCAGAACACAGAGGCAUUUCUAUGACAUUAUGGGCAUUUAAAAACAUUGACUGAGACAGAUGAAAAGUGUUUUCAAAAGCUGCAUCUUUCACAUUUGGAGUAUCCAAAGACAAGUUUUUUCUUAGAUCUUAUAUUCUAUACGAUCUUAGGUCAAAUAUUAUGUAAAUUUGUGCCAUUAACUCUACAUUUCCUUCAUAAUUUUGAGGGUUUCUGUAGUGUUUGUGUAGUUGAGUUCUUAGUUGUUGUUUUUUUUCAUACAAGUUCUCUUGCAGAAAAGUUUAACGAUUUUGACAAUUUUAGGUAGAUAUCUUAUCUGCCUUAUUCCAUCUUGAUUUCUGGCAGUAACAGAAUCCUAGCAGUCAAACUGUGUAUAAGAAAGUCCAUCAACUAUGACAGGAAGUGGAGCACUGAAUGGUUGAUCCCCUUUUCUGGUCAUAUCACAGAAUUACAGUGUAAAUUAGGUUGACAGGGAUCUCAGAAGGUCACCUGGUCCAAUCACUUCUCAAAGCAGAGGUGACUUCAAAGUUAGAGCACGUUGCUUAGGGCAAGCUAACUUGAAUAAUCUUCAAGAAUGGCGAUUCUGCAAUCUCCCUGGGAGAUCUGUCCUAUUUUUUGUUCAAAUUCUGUAUUGUUCUUUAUAUCUCUGGAAUAUCCCUUGUUGUGUUUUGUUUCCCUCAGCUCUCCACUGGUCAUUCCUGAGAAGAGCAUAGCUCCAUUUAUAUGUUAUAACAUAUAUGUUAUAUGGAGAGCUGGGUGAUCACCAACCACAUGAAGUUUAACAAAAGCAAGUGCUGGGUCCUGCACCUGGGACAGGGCAACCCUGGCUAUACGUACAGACUGGACAAUGAGACGCUGGAGAGCAGCCCUGC